RNAcentral lists this microRNA precursor (84 nucleotides) under Microcebus murinus (gray mouse lemur). RNAcentral's name for it is "microRNA 940 (ENSMICG00000019462.3)". It matches the Rfam family "mir-940 microRNA precursor family". The record is from RNAcentral. Lineage: Eukaryota; Metazoa; Chordata; Mammalia; Primates; Cheirogaleidae.
GGGCCGGGCCCCAGGAGCGGGGCCUGGGCAGCCCCGUGUGUUGAGGAAGGAAGGCAGGGCCCCCGCUCCCCGGGCCCGCCCCAC